This 426-nucleotide ribosomal RNA is filed under the name uncultured bacterium. RNAcentral's name for it is "bacterial SSU rRNA". It matches the Rfam family "Bacterial small subunit ribosomal RNA", at positions 354 to 796 of the family's 1533-position model. The record is from RNAcentral.
GUCGGGAAUAUUGCGCAAUGGAGGAAACUCUGACGCAGUGACGCCGCGUGCAGGAAGAAGGUUUUCGGAUUGUAAACUGCUUUAGACAGGGAAGAAACAAGACAGUACCUGUAGAAUAAGCUCCGGCUAACUACGUGCCAGCAGCCGCGGUAAUACGUAGGGAGCAAGCGUUAUCCGGAUUUAUUGGGUGUAAAGGGUGCGUAGACGGAGAAGCAAGUUAGUUGUGAAAUCCCUCGGCUCAACUGAGGAACUGCAACUAAAACUACUUCCCUUGAGUGCUGGAGAGGAAAGUGGAAUUCCUAGUGUAGCGGUGAAAUGCGUAGAUAUUAGGAGGAACACCAGUGGCGAAGGCGACUUUCUGGACAGUAACUGACGUUGAGGCACGAAAGUGUGGGGAGCAAACAGGAUUAGAAACCCUAGUAGUCC